ACCCUAUAAAACAACAUUGUGGUUUGUCUGUACAGCAGCAAAGAACACUCAAACAGGCAAUUGCUACACAAGCAGAACAACAACCCAAUCACCAACACAAAUUUGAGACAAUGCUGAGAGUUGUGGGACAUUUGCUGUGUCUCAUUAUAUGCUGUCUAGGAGCUGAUGGCUUGACAGAGACACUGGUGGAACUAGGACAGAAUACAAUCAUAAACUGUUCUCUUAAAAUAGAAAGUGCAUACUGGUACAUUCAGCACCACCCACAGCCUCCACUGGCCAUACUCCGCUCUUUCUCUAAUAGUAGUCCUGCUGCUUUUUACUACAAUAAGAAUUAUAGACAGAAAUAUUCAUUAGAAACAGGAAAUAGAUUGUUCAUACAGAAUGUAACAGUAGAUGAUUGUGGAGUGUUCUACUGUGCAAAGAAGGAAGAGCAGAGUCUCCUAUUUAGCAAUGGCACCAGACUCAUGACCACUGACUAUCCAAGCCAGCAGUCCAACUGUAGGUCAUCAUGGGAGAACUGUCUUCUGUCCAUUUACAGUGUUCUGAAUAUUAUUCUGAUCGUUAUGAUCCUGGUACAUAUCGUGGCCUUGGCAUGUCAGAACAGAAACUGUCUUAUUUAACUAAGACCUCCUCAAGAUGCAGACCAGAGAAAUCAGUGACACAGAUCCCAGCACCACCAAGAAGAUUCCAUCCUGAACUUGUAUCAAUAAUUAUUACAAUUGCAGUAUAGUGCAUAUAUCCACAGGCGCAAACUAACAACUUCUGCAAUAGGUAUAUUCUUAGAAUCACUUCCUGUAGAAUGAUACAAGUCAUGUGACAAUGUUACAGUGAACGAUGACUAAAAUACUCUUGUGAAUAUGCUUGUGAAUAUGCCUGUAUCCACCCCUUUCUACCGCUAGUCAGUAAUUAAUAAAUACGUGUUUCUUUACUUCCCCCCACUUUGACAUUUAUUUGCACUAAAAUACACGCAUGAUGUAGGUCUACUGCAGUGUUUCACAAACUCGGUCCUCUGGACCCCAAAGGGUGCACGUUUUGGUUUUUGCCCUAGCACUACACAGCUGAUUCAAAUAAUCAACUAAUUAACUAAUUAUCAAUAUUUGAACAUUUGAAUCAGCUGUGCAGUGUUAGGGCAAAAACCAAAACAUGCACCCCUUGGGGUCCUGAGUUUGGGAAACGCUGAACGUGUUAUUGUAUACAUGAACGGUCAAUCCAUUAGUGUAACUAUCUUCUAGUAAAAUGUCAUGAUUACAGUAAUCAGCUGCUUAACUUCCUUUUUGUUCUAAAGCUGUGACUUCUGUGGAAAUUGCCAAUGAAAUUGCAGUAAGGAUCACAGCAAAAAAAGAAAGGUAUUGUCACAUCCUGACCAGCAGAGGGUGUUGUUGUGUAGUUUUGGUCAGGACGUGGCAGAGUAUGUCUGUGUAUGUGUGUUCUGGGUGUUGUAUUUCUAUGUGGGUUAUCGUCUGGUUAUCGUUGUUCCUGAUUGGGAGUCAUAUAAUUAGGAGUAUGUUUGUCACUUGGGGUUGUGGGUGGUUGUGCUAACACUGCUAGUCUUUAGUAUGUACGUAGCCUGUUAGCCGGUUUUGUUUGUUUUUCCCGUGGAUACUUUGCUCUUAUAUAUUAAAAAGAUGAGUAUCUACAUUUCA
Long non-coding RNA from Salmo salar (Atlantic salmon), 1643 nucleotides. RefSeq lists it as uncharacterized. The record is from RefSeq and is a predicted model, not a curated record. Lineage: Eukaryota; Metazoa; Chordata; Actinopteri; Salmoniformes; Salmonidae.